Molecule: ribosomal RNA, 476 nt
Filed under: uncultured bacterium
Lineage: Bacteria
Description: bacterial SSU rRNA
Rfam family: Bacterial small subunit ribosomal RNA
Source: RNAcentral
GACGAACGGCUGGCGGCGUGCCUAACACAUGCAAGUCGAGCGGGGUUGAGGCGAGAGGUAACUCGAGCUUCUACCUAGCGGCGGACGGGUGAGUAACGCGUGGGCAACCUGCCUCAAGGUUUGGGAUAACAGCCCGAAAGGGCUGCUAAUACCGGAUAUGCCUAUGGCCUCGCAUGGGGCUAUGAGCAAAGGGGAAACCCGCCUUGAGAUGGGCCCGCGUCCCAUCAGCUAGUUGGUGAGGUAACAGCUCACCAAGGCGACGACGGGUAGCCGGCCUGAGAGGGUGACCGGCCACACUGGGACUGAGACACGGCCCAGACUCCUACGGGGGGCAGCAGUGGGGGAUCUUGCACAAUGGGCGAAAGCCUGAUGCAGCGACGCCGCGUGAGCGAAGAAGGCCUUCGGGUUGUAAAGCUCUGUCUGGAGGGACGAACAAAAUGACGGUACCUCCGGAGGAAGCCACGGCUAACUACGUG